AAGCCCAAGUAGACGUGAUGACUGUGUGGUAGGAAGAACAACAUUUGCUCUGGAGCUUUCCUGAGCAAUUCAUCCUCCGAGAAAUUAAUUAUCAGCGCCAGCAUUGCAUAUAAUCAGCAUCAAUCCCUGCGUGCCAGGGGUCGGAGGCCAUCGCUGCCUCUGCCUCCAGCAGCUCUGGGUUCCUGAAGGCAGGGAGAUCUGUUGCUAUUGUUGGAAUAGGAGCUGGAAGCAUGGAGAGCAGAUCAGGCUGGGAGCCAAGCUGUGCAAACACCUCUGGGGCGGCAGCACCUUGCUAGCACUGCCCGGGGAGGGUGCCUGGGAUGUGACAGGGCAGCCCUGGUUUUGAGAGCAGCUCAGACACCCACAAGGGAGUCCCAGGGUGCCCAUUUGGCUGGGAGCAGGGUUAUAUCCUGCGAGAUGGUGGCCUGCAACCCGGUGCCCCAUCCUGCACUGGGGACAGCAAACCCACACGGGCAGCAUGCACGUGGGCACAUGUGUGUGUGCGGCACACCAGGAAGGUGGAUGUUGUAGUGUUUGUUUGAUGUGGGACACACAGGGGCAUCUGUUCCAGCAGAGCUGGCUCUGGCACGUGUCUGACAAAUGUUGUUUGGUUUGGUGGUGGAGCAUUAAUGUAAGUGGUGCCGGCUGCGGGCACAGGGAGAGGAGCGCCUGUCUGAAGGACUCUCUGGGGGAGAAAGAAGGAGGACAAAAGGGUGUUGACAUGGCUCUUGAUGGUGGCCAGAUGGCUUCUUGCAGGACCUUCAUCUCACUGCCUGACCGGGGACACCUGGAUCUCUGCAGCCAUCCCUGUGAGAUGGGUCUUGGGCCACUGGGAGAAGGGGAGAGCAAAACCAAAUGUCACCUGGAGAAGUUCCUGCUGCUGCACUCCCAGGGGCUGGAACUGCUGCCCCAGGAUGGGGAUUAGCACAUCACUGAGAAAGCCACCAUGGUUGAUGGUCCCCAGGGGGAUCAGAUAGAUGAUCAAUGCUGGGAUUAGCCUAUAUGGUGGCUGCAGUGACAGCAGUGACCUGGAGGAGCAGCUUCACCCUGCCUGUGCUUGCACUGAGCCAACACAUCCCCAUGGCCUCCAGACUGGUCCAUGCACUGAGCGGUGUCAGGCCUCUGCCAGCCCCAUGAGAGGCUCGGGGGCACUGACAGCAGACAGCAACUGCCACAGAUGUUCUGCAUUUUGGAUUUCUUCCCCUUCCAACCUCAUUAGUAUUGAAAUU
Molecule: long non-coding RNA, 1229 nt
Filed under: Strigops habroptila (Kakapo)
Lineage: Eukaryota; Metazoa; Chordata; Aves; Psittaciformes; Psittacidae
Description: lncRNA (ENSSHBG00005009454.1)
Source: RNAcentral